RNAcentral lists this ribosomal RNA (650 nucleotides) under Pseudomonas sp. Its description in RNAcentral is "bacterial SSU rRNA". It matches the Rfam family "Bacterial small subunit ribosomal RNA", at positions 71 to 717 of the family's 1533-position model. The record is from RNAcentral. Lineage: Bacteria; Pseudomonadati; Pseudomonadota; Gammaproteobacteria; Pseudomonadales; Pseudomonadaceae.
UGAAGGAGCUUGCUCCUGGAUUCAGCGGCGGACGGGUGAGUAAUGCCUAGGAAUCUGCCUGGUAGUGGGGGACAACGUUUCGAAAGGAACGCUAAUACCGCAUACGUCCUACGGGAGAAAGCAGGGGACCUUCGGGCCUUGCGCUAUCAGAUGAGCCUAGGUCGGAUUAGCUAGUUGGUGAGGUAAUGGCUCACCAAGGCGACGAUCCGUAACUGGUCUGAGAGGAUGAUCAGUCACACUGGAACUGAGACACGGUCCAGACUCCUACGGGAGGCAGCAGUGGGGAAUAUUGGACAAUGGGCGAAAGCCUGAUCCAGCCAUGCCGCGUGUGUGAAGAAGGUCUUCGGAUUGUAAAGCACUUUAAGUUGGGAGGAAGGGUUGUAGAUUAAUACUCUGCAAUUUUGACGUUACCGACAGAAUAAGCACCGGCUAACUCUGUGCCAGCAGCCGCGGUAAUACAGAGGGUGCAAGCGUUAAUCGGAAUUACUGGGCGUAAAGCGCGCGUAGGUGGUUCGUUAAGUUGGAUGUGAAAUCCCCGGGCUCAACCUGGGAACUGCAUUCAAAACUGUCGAGCUAGAGUAUGGUAGAGGGUGGUGGAAUUUCCUGUGUAGCGGUGAAAUGCGUAGAUAUAGGAAGGAACACCAGUGGCG